UCAUGGCUCAGGACGAACGCUGGCGGCGUGCUUAACACAUUGCAAGUCGAACGAUGAAGCGGUGCUUGCACCGUGGAUUAGUGGCGAACGGGUGAGUAAUACGUGAGUGACCUACCUUUGACUCUGGGAUAAGCCUGGGAAACUGGGUCUAAUACCGGAUACGACCAAUCUCUGCAUGGGGUGUUGGUGGAAAGCGUUAUGGAGUGGUUUUAGAUGGGCUCACGGCCUAUCAGCUUGUUGGUGAGGUAAUGGCUUACCAAGGCGACGACGGGUAGCCGGCCUGAGAGGGUGACCGGCCACACUGGGACUGAGACACGGCCCAGACUCCUACGGGAGGCAGCAGUGGGGAAUAUUGCACAAUGGGCGCAAGCCUGAUGCAGCGACGCCGCGUGAGGGAUGACGGCCUUCGGGUUGUAAACCUCUGUUAGCAUCGAAGAAGCGAAAGUGACGGUAGGUGCAGAGAAAGCGCCGGCUAACUACGUGCCAGCAGCCGCGGUAAUACGUAGGGCGCGAGCGUUGUCCGGAAUUAUUGGGCGUAAAGAGCUUGUAGGCGGUUGGUCGCGUCUGCUGUGAAAGGCCGGGGCUUAACUCCGGUUUUGCAGUGGGUACGGGCUAACUAGAGUGCAGUAGGGGAGACUGGAAUUCCUGGUGUAGCGGUGGAAUGCACAGAUAUCAGGAGGAACACCGAUGGCGAAGGCAGGUCUCUGGGCUGUAACUGACGCUGAGAAGCGAAAGCAUGGGGAGCGAACAGGAUUAGAUACCCUGGUAGUCCAUGCCGUAAACGUUGGGCACUAGGUGUGGGGGACAUUCCACGUUUUCCGCGCCGUAGCUAACGCAUUAAGUGCCCCGCCUGGGGAGUACGGCCGCAAGGCUAAAACUCAAAGGAAUUGACGGGGGCCCGCACAAGCGGCGGAGCAUGCGGAUUAGUUCGAUGCAACGCGAAGAACCUUUACCAAGGCUUGACAUGCAUUAGAUCGCGUCAGAGAUGGCGUUUCCCUUCGGGGCUGGUGUACAGGUGGUGCAUGGUUGUCGUCAGCUCGUGUCGUGAGAUGUUGGGUUAAGUCCCGCAACGAGCGCAACCCUCGUUCUAUGUUGCCAGCGGUUCGGCCGGGGACUCAUAGGAGACUGCCGGGGUCAACUCGGAGGAAGGUGGGGAUGACGUCAAAUCAUCAUGCCCCUUAUGUUCUUGGGGCUUCACGCAUGCUACGAAUGGCCGGUACAGAGGGUUGCGAUACUGUGAGGUGGAGCUAAUCCCUUAAAGCCGGUCUCGGUUUCGGAUUGGGGUUCUGCGAACUCGGACCCCGUGAAAGUUCGGAGUCGCGAGUGAAUCGCGGAUUCGGGCGAACGCUGCGGUGAA
Molecule: ribosomal RNA, 1357 nt
Filed under: uncultured bacterium
Lineage: Bacteria
Description: 16S ribosomal RNA
Rfam family: Bacterial small subunit ribosomal RNA
Source: RNAcentral